AAGCUAGAAGAUGACGAGCUUGUCUCCUACAUCUUGACUAGCCUCGAUCUUGACAAUGACUCGGUGGUGUCCGCCGUUGCUGCCCAAGUCGAACCAAUCUUUGUUGGGGAGUUGUUCACCCAACUGACCAGCUUCGAGC
RNAcentral lists this small nucleolar RNA (139 nucleotides) under Sorghum bicolor (sorghum). RNAcentral's name for it is "Small nucleolar RNA Z247". It matches the Rfam family "Small nucleolar RNA Z247". From Rfam's summary of the family: Z247 is a member of the C/D class of snoRNA which contain the C (UGAUGA) and D (CUGA) box motifs. The record is from Rfam by way of RNAcentral. Lineage: Eukaryota; Viridiplantae; Streptophyta; Magnoliopsida; Poales; Poaceae.